AGAGUUUGAUCAUGGCUCAGAUUGAACGCUGGCGGCAGGCCUAACACAUGCAAGUCGAACGGUAACAGGAAGCAGCUUGCUGCUUCGCUGACGAGUGGCGGACGGGUGAGUAAUGUCUGGGAAACUGCCUGAUGGAGGGGGAUAACUACUGGAAACGGUGGCUAAUACCGCAUAACGUCGCAAGACCAAAGAGGGGGACCUUCGGGCCUCUUGCCAUCAGAUGUGCCCAGAUGGGAUUAGCUAGUUGGUGAGGUAACGGCUCACCAAGGCGACGAUCCCUAGCUGGUCUGAGAGGAUGACCAGCCACACUGGAACUGAGACACGGUCCAGACUCCUACGGGAGGCAGCAGUGGGGAAUAUUGCACAAUGGGCGCAAGCCUGAUGCAGCCAUGCCGCGUGUAUGAAGAAGGCCUUCGGGUUGUAAAGUACUUUCAGCGGGGAGGAAGGUGUUGUGGUUAAUAACCGCAGCAAUUGACGUUACCCGCAGAAGAAGCACCGGCUAACUCCGUGCCAGCAGCCGCGGUAAUACGGAGGGUGCAAGCGUUAAUCGGAAUUACUGGGCGUAAAGCGCACGCAGGCGGUCUGUCAAGUCGGAUGUGAAAUCCCCGGGCUCAACCUGGGAACUGCAUUCGAAACUGGCAGGCUUGAGUCUUGUAGAGGGGGGUAGAAUUCCAGGUGUAGCGGUGAAAUGCGUAGAGAUCUGGAGGAAUACCGGUGGCGAAGGCGGCCCCCUGGACAAAGACUGACGCUCAGGUGCGAAAGCGUGGGGAGCAAACAGGAUUAGAUACCCUGGUAGUCCACGCCGUAAACGAUGUCUACUUGGAGGUUGUGCCCUUGAGGCGUGGCUUCCGGAGCUAACGCGUUAAGUAGACCGCCUGGGGAGUACGGCCGCAAGGUUAAAACUCAAAUGAAUUGACGGGGGCCCGCACAAGCGGUGGAGCAUGUGGUUUAAUUCGAUGCAACGCGAAGAACCUUACCUGGUCUUGACAUCCACAGAACUUUCCAGAGAUGGAUUGGUGCCUUCGGGAACUGUGAGACAGGUGCUGCAUGGCUGUCGUCAGCUCGUGUUGUGAAAUGUUGGGUUAAGUCCCGCAACGAGCGCAACCCUUAUCC
This 1113-nucleotide ribosomal RNA is filed under the name Salmonella enterica subsp. enterica serovar Typhimurium str. DT104. RNAcentral describes it as "bacterial SSU rRNA". It matches the Rfam family "Bacterial small subunit ribosomal RNA", at positions 8 to 1110 of the family's 1533-position model. Lineage: Bacteria; Pseudomonadati; Pseudomonadota; Gammaproteobacteria; Enterobacterales; Enterobacteriaceae. The record is from RNAcentral.